RNAcentral lists this long non-coding RNA (688 nucleotides) under Linum usitatissimum (flax). RNAcentral describes it as "long non-coding RNA (LUSI_LNC005912)". Lineage: Eukaryota; Viridiplantae; Streptophyta; Magnoliopsida; Malpighiales; Linaceae. The record is from RNAcentral.
UCUUACAAAAUGGUACAAGGUAAUAUUACUAUGUUGUCCAAUUAAUUUCAACAAUUCAAUCUUGGCACAUAAAAGCUAACCAUUUAUGUUCAUAUGAGAACAAGCUAUCAUGUUAUUAGAUCGCCAAUCAUCACAUUGAUUGCCGUGGAACCAAACGGUGAGAAAAAUUAUUGCUAGAAAUCUCUGUACUGGUUGCUGAGAUGCCAGGAUACAAUGUGUAAAAUGUGGCACUAGCAUAUAUCCAAGAUGCAAUGGAGCUGCCAUCUCAUCGACCCCGAUUCUAAGUUCAAAGUUUCAACCAAGCCCCACACACCAGAAAUGUCCAUGGUUUACUGAUUCCCAUAAUAAAAGAUCAUUACUCCAGCUUCCUGCAGGUAGUGGAGCAGAGAAUUUGAGAGGAGGUGGCGGUGGUCCAAAGUUAUUCUUCUGACUGCGGAGAGAAAAAAGAAAGAAAGGUCAUUCCUCUGCGUCAUUAUUUCUCUGAAUCAUACGGCCACAACUCUGACCUGAAAAUACCGAGCUUAGCUUCAUCUUCUCAUAUGGUGGAGGGGAAAAGACCUUACCUUCCUUCUAAACUGAGAGACGAACAACUUCAUUAGAAUUAGAAGCUGAGAAAUAUGGAGUGUGGGGAUUUCAAUUGAACAUAAACCCAGUCGGAUAUCGUAAUAAGUAUACUCGAAAUACCCAC